This 406-nucleotide ribosomal RNA is filed under the name uncultured bacterium. Its description in RNAcentral is "partial 16S ribosomal RNA". It matches the Rfam family "Bacterial small subunit ribosomal RNA", at positions 30 to 526 of the family's 1533-position model. The record is from RNAcentral.
AUUGAACGCUGGCGGCAGGCUUAACACAUGCAAGUCGAGCGAGCGGCGGACGGGUGAGUAAUGUCUGGGAAACUGCCUGAUGGAGGGGGAUAACUCCUGGAAACGGUAGCUAAUACCGCAUACCAUCAGAUGGGCACAGAUGGGCUUAGCUAGGAGGUGGGGUAAGGGCUCACCUAGGCGACGAUCCCUAGCUGGUCUGAGCGGAUGACCAGCCACAGUGGAACUGAGACACGGUCCAGACUCCUACGGGAGGCCGCAGGGGGGAAUAUUGCACUAUGGGCGCAAGCCUGAUGCAGCCAUGCCGCGUGUGUGAAGAAGGCCUUCGGGUUGUAAAGCACUUUCAGCGAGGAGGCGUUACUCGCAGAAGAAGCACCGGCUAACUCCGUGCCAGCAGCCGCGGUAAUUC